This 468-nucleotide ribosomal RNA is filed under the name uncultured bacterium. RNAcentral describes it as "partial 16S ribosomal RNA". It matches the Rfam family "Bacterial small subunit ribosomal RNA", at positions 28 to 507 of the family's 1533-position model. The record is from RNAcentral.
GACGAACGCUGGCGGCGUGCUUAACACAUGCAAGUCGAACGGAAAGGCCCUGCUUUUGUGGGGUGCUCGAGUGGCGAACGGGUGAGUAACACGUGAGUAACCUGCCCUUGACUUUGGGAUAACUUCAGGAAACUGGGGCUAAUACCGGAUAGGAGCUCCUGCUGCAUGGUGGGGGUUGGAAAGUUUCGGCGGUUGGGGAUGGACUCGCGGCUUAUCAGCUUGAUGGUGGGGUAGUGGCUUACCAAGGCUUUGACGGGUAGCCGGCCUGAGAGGGUGACCGGCCACAUUGGGACUGAGAUACGGCACAGACUCCUACGGGAGGCAGCAGUGGGGAAUAUUGCACAAUGGGCGGAAGCCUGAUGCAGCAACGCCGCGUGCGGGAUGACGGCCUUCGGGUUGUAAACCGCUUUCGCCUGUGACGAAGCGUGAGUGACGGUAAUGGGUAAAGAAGCACCGGCUAACUACGUG